UGGGGAAUAUUGCACAAUGGGCGCAAGCCUGAUGCAGCCAUGCCGCGUGUAUGAAGAAGGCCUUCGGGUUGUAAAGUACUUUCAGCGAGGAGGAAGGCGUUGUGGUUAAUAACCGCAACGAUUGACGUACUCGCAGAAGAAGCACCGGCUAACUCCGUGCCAGCAGCCGCGGUAAUACGGAGGGUGCAAGCGUUAAUCGGAAUUACUGGGCGUAAAGCGCACGCAGGCGGUCUGUCAAGUCGGAUGUGAAAUCCCCGGGCUCAACCUGGGAACUGCAUCCGAAACUGGCAGGCUAGAGUCUUGUAGAGGGGGGUAGAAUUCCAGGUGUAGCGGUGAAAUGCGUAGAGAUCUGGAGGAAUACCGGUGGCGAAGGCGGCCCCCUGGACAAAGACUGACGCUCAGGUGCGAAAGCGUGGGGAGCAAACA
RNAcentral lists this ribosomal RNA (426 nucleotides) under uncultured bacterium. RNAcentral describes it as "partial 16S ribosomal RNA". It matches the Rfam family "Bacterial small subunit ribosomal RNA", at positions 355 to 774 of the family's 1533-position model. The record is from RNAcentral.